This 199-nucleotide small nucleolar RNA is filed under the name Prolemur simus (greater bamboo lemur). RNAcentral's name for it is "Small nucleolar RNA U3 (ENSPSMG00000012550.1)". It matches the Rfam family "Small nucleolar RNA U3". From Rfam's summary of the family: Small nucleolar RNAs (snoRNAs) are involved in the processing and modification of rRNA in the nucleolus. The record is from RNAcentral. Lineage: Eukaryota; Metazoa; Chordata; Mammalia; Primates; Lemuridae.
AAGAGGAACAGUCUCAAAUCAGUAAUCUUAAAUUGCUACAUCAAGAAAAUAGAAACCACAAGGAAGAGACACAAUGUUCUCUCCUGAGCAAGGAACCGGCUGUUGGUGUUGCUUCGCUGCAAGCGCCAUUUACCAUUGAUGAUCAUUCUUCUCUCCCUUUUUGGAGAAGUAAGAGGGAGAGGAUGCAGUCUGGGGUGGG